CAUCUUAGGGGACUCAACGAUCUUCAUGAUUUAACUAAAGCACCAUUGACGAGACUCGGGUUCAGGAUAUUACAGUGAGCUAGAGGAUGAAGCUUCAUGCAACAUUUCAAGGACUUUGCAGUUGCAGAUCCAACGGAAUUUGUAUUCUCUUUCUUCACCAGCUCUCUAUGAGUUGCUAUCCAACACCUGAUGAUCGUCACGGACAUGGUAUGACUUCUGACUAGCA
RNAcentral lists this long non-coding RNA (226 nucleotides) under Daucus carota (carrot). RNAcentral describes it as "long non-coding RNA (DCAR_LNC007632)". The record is from RNAcentral. Lineage: Eukaryota; Viridiplantae; Streptophyta; Magnoliopsida; Apiales; Apiaceae.